RNAcentral lists this ribosomal RNA (1173 nucleotides) under Triticum aestivum (bread wheat). Its description in RNAcentral is "partial small subunit ribosomal RNA". Lineage: Eukaryota; Viridiplantae; Streptophyta; Magnoliopsida; Poales; Poaceae. The record is from RNAcentral.
AUGCUCCGCCUCCGCCUCCGAUGCCGCGCCCUGUCCCAGCUCCUCCCGCCCCCAUCCUCGUCUCCCAUCUCCCAGCUCCUCGGCUACCACAGCCGCCUCCUCUCCGCGGCCGCGCCCGUCGUCUCCCCGAACCCUAGCUUCGCCGUCGAGGAUUACCUCGUCUCCACCUGCGGCCUGACCCGAGCCCAGGCACUCAAGGCCUCCCCCAAGCUCGCCCACCUCAGGUCCCCCGCCAACCCCGACGCCGUGCUCGCCUUCCUCGCCGGCCGCGGCCUCUCCGGCGCCGACGUCGCCGCCCUCGUCGCCAAGGACCCCAAGUUCCUCUGCACCAAGGUCGACAAGGGCCUGUCCCCCAUCGUCGCGGGGCUCUCCGGCGUCGGCCUGUCAGAUCCCGAGAUGGCGCGGCUCCUCUCGCUCGCCCCAGACAGAUUCCGCUGUAGAUCCAUCGUCCCCAAUAUACACUACUGCCUGUGCAUCUUCGUGUCCUACGAGAAUCUCCUCUCUGCUGUCAAGCGCAAUUUCUACAUUCUCACGUCCAACCUUGAGAGAGUGAUCAAGCCCAAUGUCGCGGCCCUGCGAGAGUUUGGGCUUGGUCCUUGUGCUAUUGCCAAGCUGUGCCUCGCUCAGCCAUGGCUGCUCACCUGCAACGUAGAGUGUGUCCGGGCGACGGCGGUGUGCGUCCAAGGUCUGGGUAUACCCCGAGGAUCUGGGAUGUUUAGGCAUGCACUCAGUGCUGUUGCAUUCGUCAGCGAGGAGAAAAUCGCCGCCAAAGUGGAGCACCUGAAGAAAACAUUCAGGUGGUCGGAUGCUGAGGUGGGCAUUGCUAUUUCUAAGGCUCCAAAUGUGCUGAAUAAGACUAAGGAGUUUCUGCAGAGAAGGUCAGAGUUCCUCAUCUCUGAUUUGGGGUUGGAACCCGCAUACAUUGCUCAUCGCCCCGUAAUGCUCUCGUACAGCUUGGAGGGCCGGCUAAGGCCCCGGAGCUACGUUGUGAAGUUUCUUAAGGCAAAUGGAUUGCUAGAUCCCGACCGGGACUUGUAUUCCGUGCUUGUAGUGACUGAGAAGGUAUUCAUGGAGAGGUACAUAUGCCCUCACAAGGAAGCUGCACCAUGCCUCGCUCCAGACUAUGCUGAUGCUUGCAAAGGGCUAAUGCCGACUAAUUUCAGAUUUACAUGA